ACGGAGGAUGCAAGCGUUAUCCGGAAUCAUUGGGUUUAAAGGGUCCGUAGGUGGAUAAUUAAGUCAGAGGUGAAAUCCUGCAGCUCAACUGUAGAAUUGCCUUUGAUACUGGUUAUCUUGAAUUAUUGUGAAGUAGUUAGAAUAUGUAGUGUAGCGGUGAAAUGCAUAGAUAUUACAUAGAAUACCGAUUGCGAAGGCAGAUUACUAACAAUAUAUUGACACUGAUGGACGAAAGCGUGGGGAGCGAACAGG
Molecule: ribosomal RNA, 252 nt
Filed under: uncultured bacterium
Lineage: Bacteria
Description: partial 16S ribosomal RNA
Rfam family: Bacterial small subunit ribosomal RNA
Source: RNAcentral